Molecule: ribosomal RNA, 551 nt
Filed under: uncultured bacterium
Lineage: Bacteria
Description: bacterial SSU rRNA
Rfam family: Bacterial small subunit ribosomal RNA
Source: RNAcentral
CUCGCAAGAGCCUCGCGCGAUUGGAGCGGCCGAUAUCAGAUUAGCUAGUUGGCGGGGUAAAAGCCCACCAAGGCGACGAUCUGUAGCUGGUCUGAGAGGACGACCAGCCACACUGGAACUGAGACACGGUCCAGACUCCUACGGGAGGCAGCAGUGGGGAAUUUUGGACAAUGGGCGAAAGCCUGAUCCAGCAAUGCCGCGUGCAGGAUGAAGGCCUUCGGGUUGUAAACUGCUUUUGUACGGAACGAAACGGUCUGCCUUAAUACGGUGGGCUAAUGACGGUACCGUAAGAAUAAGCACCGGCUAACUACGUGCCAGCAGCCGCGGUAAUACGUAGGGUGCGAGCGUUAAUCGGAAUUACUGGGCGUAAAGCGUGCGCAGGCGGUUAUAUAAGACAGAUGUGAAAUCCCCGGGCUCAACCUGGGACCUGCAUUUGUGACUGUAUAGCUAGAGUACGGUAGAGGGGGAUGGAAUUCCGCGUGUAGCAGUGAAAUGCGUAGAUAUGCGGAGGAACACCGAUGGCGAAGGCAAUCCCCUGGACCUGUACUGAC